Molecule: ribosomal RNA, 322 nt
Filed under: Corynebacterium tuscaniense
Lineage: Bacteria; Bacillati; Actinomycetota; Actinomycetes; Mycobacteriales; Corynebacteriaceae
Description: bacterial LSU rRNA
Rfam family: Bacterial large subunit ribosomal RNA
Source: RNAcentral
UUCAGUGAUGGGGUGACACAGAGUGGUAGCCACGCCGUUUAUUGGAUUGCGGUGUAAGCGUGCAGCAUGCAGGUUAGUGAAAUGCGGCCUGCGUAUAUGUCAGGCGUGAUGCGUAGCCCAUGUGUGGGUGAUGGUGGUGAUCCUGUGCUGUCGAGAAAAGCCUCUAGCGAUGUGUGUGUACGGCCCGUACCCGAAACCGACACAGGUAGUCAGGUAGAAAAUACUCAGGCGGUCGGGUGAACUGUGGUUAAGGAACUCGGCAAAUUGCCCCCGUAACUUCGGGAGAAGGGGGGCCAUAACUGGUGAUCUAAUCUUGCGUUGG